UCGUCACGGGAAUAUUUGUAAUGUAAGCAGGAUCUCAGCAGUGCGAAGAUUUGCAUCAAUAGGGGAUCUGCAAUUAGUAACCAGCACGACUCUCCCUCCUGUUCCUCAUGAAGGUCUUAACAGGCUACUGUGAUGAUGAUGAGGACCUAUGUGACAGACUGUACUCGGGAUCGGGCACCAAAGAGGCGAGGAGAUUUCAGGACGCGGAGGGAUGGCACUCAACAGUGGGAACUACAGGGCACAUUCGCAGCUGACAAGAGAGGCGCCCAGCGUGGUCUUCGGCUGCUGUAGCCCAUCUGCUUCAAGGUUCGACGUGAUGUGCGUUCAGAGAUGCUCUACUGCAUACCUUGGUGGUAACAAAUGGUUGAAUUACUGUUGCCUUUAUAUCAGCUUGAACCAGCCUGGCCAUUAUUCUCUGGCCUCUGCCGUCGCAAGGCAUUUUCACCCAGAGAGCUGCCGCUCUUUGGAUGUUUCUUUCUUUUUCAGCCUAUUCUCUGAAAACCCUGGAGACGGUUUGCAUGACAAGCCUGGUAAAUAAGUUUCUGAAAUACUCAUGCCGCUCAACCAUGCCGCGUUCAGAUUUAAAGUCACUUUAAAUAACCCCCUUUUGGUGUUUGAUGUGAGCAUUAACUGAAGCUCCUGACCUGUAGCUGCGUGAUUUCAUACACUGUGCCACUAACCUCAGAAAUUCAAUCAGAAAAAUGAAAAAAAGAGAAAACAAAAUACAAUACUCUGCAGUCUUAGGCAGUGAAAGAGGACGAUACUGUAAAUGAUCUUCAUGUUGGUGUGAAUCUAUAUUACAUCUGUAUAGGUGUGUUAGCUUAGCAUUUCAAAACCUCUCCUAAAGUCAUCCCAGCGUUUGCAGUGACCACCCAACACCCAUGUAUUUCGAAACUCACCCAGCAACAGACCGUGUAUGACUAAUCAAUACUUCAUUACCUGAGAAAAAGUUUGGGAAUGGAAUUGGGGUUCUUCUGGCCAAGCAGAAGAAAUUCCUGCUAGUUUUUAUUUCAUUACUCUUAAUUUGCAUAUAAUCUAAUGUUGAAUUGUGCUUUUGGUUCUGAGCAAAUAUACACUGACUACCCAGAUAAACGACAUUUUCUUUGGGGUGGGGGCAGGGCUGGUCAUCAUCGUGUAGAAAAUAAUAGCAGUGUGUGUAUGUGUGCAUAGUCAUGUAUAUAUUGCAUUGCGGACCAAGCGUCCCCACAAUGUGAUUAAAAACCUGCUAUUUUGACCCUGUGAGGACAUUUUUCGGUCCCCACAAAGGCAAAUUCAGGUUUUUUAAAAAUCUGUGAAUGCAAUCAAAAAUCUAAAAAUGCCAGAUGUCUUGUACUUUGCUAUCUUUAGCGCUUGGUUAAAGUUGACAUGAAUGGAGAGUCCCCACAAAGAUGAAUACAUGGCCACAUAUGUAUAUAUGUGUUUGUGUAAAUACACUUAAGCCUGGUAUUGGUACUAUUUUCAUAUUGCUCAAUGUAGCAAAAAGGAAGGGAACAAGGAAACCUGUCAACUAAAUAUCCCCAGAAAUGAUGCUCUUUAAAUUCUGGCAUAAAGCAAACGCAAUGGAAGCAAUGCACUUAUUCUCAAUACUGCCAGCUGUCUGCGUGGCCAUAUGCAGGCAAAGAGUUUCAUACAUUCCCCUUUUAUUAAGUUUGAAUUGAUUCACUAUUAAAACCUAUGCUGUACAGCAGCUUAAAAUAUUUACAAUAGAACUAUAAAGAUUGUCGUACUUCAGGAGCUGGCUAAUUAAACACAAUUGCUAAUUGUCAUGUUUCUUUUUAUAUACUGGUUCAGGAAAUACACAGACAACAAUCGAGUUUUGCUUAAUAUCUCCAUCAUUAAAAUAUCUUUUACACAGCGA
Brienomyrus brachyistius is the source of this 1858-nucleotide long non-coding RNA. RefSeq lists it as uncharacterized. The transcript is spliced from 3 exons. The record is from RefSeq and is a predicted model, not a curated record. NCBI's taxonomy places the organism in Eukaryota, Metazoa, Chordata, Actinopteri, Osteoglossiformes, Mormyridae.